RNAcentral lists this long non-coding RNA (5270 nucleotides) under Sus scrofa (pig). RNAcentral's name for it is "lncRNA (ENSSSCG00000052421.1)". Lineage: Eukaryota; Metazoa; Chordata; Mammalia; Artiodactyla; Suidae. The record is from RNAcentral.
UUUUCAAAAUUUUAACAGAUUUUUCAUUUAGCUAGAAAUGGUUAUAAAAUGCAUGAGGGCCCAGGGAAAGUAUUGGAAUAAUUCAAGUUUUCCAAAAUAAUUCUUUUUCUUUUGACUCUUUCUUGCUUUCUUUCUUUCAAACAGGAUAAGAAUUACCUAACUUCAGAGAUUCUUUUUAUACUACCUAACCCUUUCAAGUGGCAUGAUAAUCAAAGGACAAGUGAAGAAAAGAUUUUGAAUAAGCACAUUAGUGGCUAUAGUAAUUAUUUCUACUUUCUCAGUAAUAAAGGGCAAGCUUUUUUGUUUAGAAAUUCAACAACAACAACAAAAUGUGUUUAUAGUUCCUUUAAAAAGCAGUGACCUUUUUGAAAUGGAAUCCCUGGGAAAAAGUCUUGAAAUGUGAAAUUCUUUGAUUUUCACAAAUAAACCAUAAACUAUAUAACAUUAAAAACAAUUACAUGGCUUUCCAGUACUGACCUUCAAAUUGAUGACUCUCAUUCAAAGAUUAAAUGCUAACAAUUUUACAUUCUCCAAAUCCAGAAAAAAUCAUUUGCAAACAUGAAAAAACUGAGCCAAAAAGAACAUCAGAUGGCUAAACAGAAAAUAGAAAGUACCUGUGUGUUUUAAAAAAGAACAUUUAAGAUUUAAUUAGAAGAUACUGAUCAUAAAUAAAUCAUACAUGGUAGAAACAAAGAUAAAAUUUCUAUAGGACAAAAUAUUGUACUGAGAAUCAGUAAUAUCUAAUUUGGUGCAUCAGUCAGCAUAUUUGGACAUUAUGUUUGGUUCAAAGCCCAGUUUUGAUGGCUGUGAAGAGUUCAAACUUCCACUCGAAGUCAGAAUCAUGAAUCCCUGCCCCACUCAAGAGAAAUAAUGCCUUUAAAAUAUUUGUUCCCCAUGUCCUUUUUUUUUUUUUUUAAAUCAACUCUAGUAGGCUCUGUUUUUCUAAGCCACGGGGUCAACCUGACAUUUCCUUGAGGACUGCACCUGUCAGCUAGAAUCACCAUUCUUCCAACUGCUGAAUCAGUCCACCCUUGUACCACUAGUUGGUAGCAAUACAAGGAGACCUUCACAUUUUGUAAAUUUUGGCUGGAUUAGAAUGGGCUCUAGGCCAAUGUCUUUAAGACCAGUACAGAUUUUCAGACAUCUACACAAUCAAAUUUCAGAGGACCCUGGAAAUACUUACCAUCUCAGACCUGGAUAGACUGUUUGAUUCCAAGUGAAAAUCUUUUAUCAUGUCAUCCAGAUGACUACCAUAUACUAAGGCCAUAAUAAUUUUUCCUAUUGUGGCAGGAUAUCGUUCUAACUUGAAAAGCCAAGCUUUUAGAAGGAGUGCUAUAAAUAGAGUUAAUAUUAGACAAACUACCACAAUUGGAAGGAAGGGACAGAAAUCAGUCACUGAGAUCAAAUUUCCAACCUUUGUGGCUUUGAUCCUUUGCCAACCAUGCUGCUUCUCUGUAAGCUGAUGGAUAAAGGCUACAACAGAGAACACCACUGAACUGAAGGAACUUUCCUUUUUCUGUAACAAAGGCUUAUUAAGGGUUCACAGGACAGACUUCAACCAUUCAGAGAGAAUAGUUUAUUGUUUGCCAGUAGAAUUCUGGUUAACAAUGAUAUUGUACUGUUUAAUUCAUCAGGACAAAAUAAGCUAAAAUAUAUGGGCCAACUCACUGUCGUACAUCUGGGUACUCUAGAAUCAAAGCCUGAGACAGUAUUUUAGGUGCAUAAAAUUUACUGAAGAGGUACACUUCAGGGGAGAGUAUGACAAGCAGGAGAGGGAAGAGGAAAUGGCUGUACCAGGAUGGUCCUGUAUACAGGCUGAUCUGUGGGAUCACACCACAGAAUUAAUCAUAACCCUCUCCUUUAACACAAAGGGGCCAGCCAUUCGUAGCCCCAUAUCCAUCCAUCACUAGCUGCUCAUAGCUGGAGGAUCAUACCUCUUGGAUCAGAUACAGCUGCCAUCAGCAAUUCUCUUGAAGAGCGGGGAGAGAGGAGGGAGGUGGGCAUGCAGCUGUGGGUCUUUAGCAACCAAAACUCACAGCAGUUGGAAAAGGAAUGUAUGGGUCUGGUAAAGGGAUUCCGGCUGGGCACCGACAGCAUCCACUACGUUAUUUGUGAUUCGCUCAGCAAUCAGAAAAGCAAAUUCUACAGACUGGAAAGGGACUCCUCUGGCAUCAACAGGUGAAGUCAUUGGGAUGGAAUGGCUGGCAAUCUUACCCAGUUGCCUUUAAUUGUAUUAUACCCUAAGACUUGUGCUUCCUUUGCUUGUUAACAAUCUACAGCCCCUGACAUAAUGUAUCCUUAACCUAUUUUGGUGCUCUUAAUUCAGAAUUAUUCCUUCUUCCCGCAUGAAAGAAAAGCUGCCAGUUUUGAGAAUAUCCAUUACGUUAAGGGCACAAGGCAAAAUGUUAACAUUCAACUUAAAGAAAGAGCAAUCGACUUUACAAACCACAAAGCACAAUUUUUUUAAAUAGAGGAAUUAAGUUUUCAAUUGCAAGAUCUGGGGGAGUGAAGUUUCCUUUCUUAACGUAUAAAUUUUAUUUGCAUUCCAUGAGUCACGUUACAUGGAAAUCCUUCACCCAGUAAGAAAAUGUACACUUCUGCUGUUGUUUGUGACCCUCCACAUCUCUCAAAAUUAUGGGCACUACAAAUUCCAAACAUGCCAUGAGUCAUUCUCCCAAUCUUUCCUCUCAGACUUUGUGCUGGAGAUGGAGUGAUUCGCAUUUGCAUUGUUGUUCUGUGACGUACUGAAAUAGUCCAAACAAACCUAGGCCUUUAUUAUCCAUCAGGCAAAUAGGAAAUAAGAAUCCAAAGGCUUGACUGUGAUAAAUUCCAUAGUGUUUACCCAGAUGGGUGUUUUGAACCCGUUAAAAAACUCAGAGGUACCGUUUUUGCACUUGCAACUGUCCUCUCCAUUUUGAGGUGGUUAAUUUCAGCUGGAUGUCUACAGAACAGACAGCUUUAUAUCUGAGUUCAUUAUAAAAACAGAGAAAGGAGGAAAAAAUUUGCCUAUCUCUAUAGGGAAGUCCAUUUCUUUCUCUUUUGACCUAAUCAAUAUGAGAAGGCAUUGAAAAUAAUGGUUUCAAAAAUCUUAACUAGAAAUGCCAGCUUGGCCACAAAAGGCUUUGUUAAAAGGGCAUGUGGGAAUCCAUGCAGAGGGUCAUCAUUAUACUAAUCCCCCAGGAUGGCUGAUUUCUAUACCUCUGAGUCCAGGUAUUUGUCCUGGAUUCUGUAGCGAGCCAAGGCAGUAGGAGAUUUUUUUCUGAAGCAAACAAAUCUCCCUGUUUCAUACUGAUCCAACCUAAUUCUAGCCACCCAGCCUACACAUUAUAUAUUUCCUAUUUUGAGAAAAACAUUCCUGGAACAGAGAGUGGGCAGUGGACUCAUUUCUAUUUUCCACUAAAUUAAGACACCUUACAGAUAAGGAAAGCCACAUCUUCUGUGACAGAGAAGAGGGCAGAAUAUUUGCUGCACUGAAAAAAAUUACAAACCAAGAACCAGAGGAUAAGAGGAAAAUGGCAGAUUGACUUCUGGUUAAAGGACAGCUGUAAGCUAUUACAAGCUCCCUCUGGUAUCCCCCCUUAUUCCUCACUCCACCCACAUCUGUAAAGAAAUCAUUUCCCAAAAGCCGAGCAAAAUUCCAGUUUUGCAAGGGCUUCUAAACCUGGCUUCAUAUAAUCAAGGUAAGACCCUCAAGUUAUAAUUAGCUUUCAUUGACCCUUCUCCAAACAUCUUUUAGCCUAGGGGCAACAAAAGCUGUCUGUCAGCAUGACCAAUUCACUGCUAUUUUUAUCCGGGGCUUAGUGGCCAUUCUUGUGGCCACAAUUGUGUACUGACCUGCUCUAGAGGGAGUACUGAGGGUCAGUAGAUUUGUUCACACACAGAUCAAGUUGAUAUACCAUCUCUGGAGAUUAGAAUCCUCAUUUGUGAGAGUAAAUGGCAGCUUUUGGUUUUAUUAUUAGUGCAAGAGAGUGAGACUUUAUUUUUAAUAGUUGUAUUUAGCUGAGGGGAUCAGUGAAUACAUUUAUGAAAUGUAUUUAUAACGUAAAGAGAGGAACAUGGAGAAGAAGGGAAGGGCCAAAAACUUAUUAAAUUUUGUGGAGUUUAUAGGAGACUAAGAUCUGAAUUAGCACUAGUACAAAAAAUUUACCUCUUUAAUGAGCUUGAGCUCAGUCUCAUAAUUGAGAAUUUUAUUACCUCUUUAGAAAUUCAACUGAGAAAAAUGCAACCGAGAUGGACAAAAACACUAAAACCAGAGUAACAGCCUUCUUGCUAAUAGAAUUAACUGAUAUUUAUAUUGUGUUUACAGGUGCCAGAUGCUGUUAAGAGUCCAAUCCUAGUAUGAAGUGUUAUCACUUUCAGAACACAAACUAGUCAGUGGGAUUGAAGCCCAGCCAUAGCAUUAACUAGCUGUGUAUCCCGAGAAAUACAUUUUUUUCUAGGUGUUUGUGAGUGUAUGUAUUUGUUUUGUAAAAUGAGUGCUAGAAAUAGACCCCACCUCAGAGGUUGCGGUAAGGUUAAAUGAGUUAGCACAUGUAAAACAUUAAGUGUAGAAUCUGGCACAAGGAAAAAGCUUAAAUAAUUCUUGACUAUUACUAUUAUCCUCUCACUAAAGAUGAAAAGUAAGAGAUUUAAAAGGUUAAAUAACUUUCUCAAGGUCAUACAAUGAAUAAUGAACAGAGCUAGCAUUUGAAUUCAGGUGACCUAUCUCUAAAGUCCACGUGCUAAACCUUAACACUGCCCAGACAAACACAUUCCUCAGGAUCCAGUGUGAUUUGAACUCAGCCCAUUCUGACACAGCAGGAGCAGUAUACCAAUAAGAUGAAGAUGGGUUUCUUUUGGCCAAAAGCUUGUGGCAGACCAUGAGUCUAAGAAGAGAGCAGUGUAGUAACUAAUCAGUAUAAAAGUGGACAAAUUUGAAGGCAGUGCUAAUUCCUUGGUGGGAGGGGUCAAGAGAGGAAAAACUGCUGGCUAAAACUAGACUUCUCUCAUGUGAAAUUCAAGCAUGCUUAUGAAAUAAAAAACAUAACACUUAUGAGAUAAUAACUUGAGGGCAAAUGUUUCACCUAAAGCAAACAGAAAUUACCUUUUGUGAUAGAAGAGUUCACAAAUUCCUAACUAAUAAAUGCAUCUCAUAUUCACAUUGUGCCAUACAGUUUAGCAUAAGGUAUCUCACUUCAUCUCUGCCAAAACUCCAUGAAACAAAAAUUAUAAACUUUAAUUCAUGGAUGAGAAAAUAGAAAGGUUAAACCUGACCCCCUUGCUGUACAGUG